RNAcentral lists this ribosomal RNA (1122 nucleotides) under Nevskiaceae bacterium. RNAcentral describes it as "bacterial SSU rRNA". It matches the Rfam family "Bacterial small subunit ribosomal RNA", at positions 36 to 1178 of the family's 1533-position model. The record is from RNAcentral. Lineage: Bacteria; Pseudomonadati; Pseudomonadota; Gammaproteobacteria; Nevskiales; Nevskiaceae.
CGUGGGGGAUGCUACACAUGCAAGUCGAGCGGGGUAGCAAUACCCAGCGGCGGACGGGUGAGGAAUACGUAGGAACCUACCUUGAGGUGGGGGAUAGCCUGGGGAAACUCAGGGUAAUACCGCAUGAUCUCGAGAGAGCAAAGGGGGCGCAAGCUCUCGCCUUUAGAUGGGCCUACGUCUGAUUAGCUAGUUGGUGAGGUAACGGCUCACCAAGGCGACGAUCAGUAACUGGUCUGAGAGGACGAUCAGUCACACCGGAACUGAGACACGGUCCGGACUCCUACGGGAGGCAGCAGUGGGGAAUAUUGGACAAUGGGCGAAAGCCUGAUCCAGCAAUUCCGCGUGUGUGAAGAAGGCCUUCGGGUUGUAAAGCACUUUAGGCUGGAAAGAAAAAGCUUGACCUAAUACGUCAAGCCUUGACGGUACCAGCAGAAUAAGCACCGGCUAACUCUGUGCCAGCAGCCGCGGUAAUACAGAGGGUGCAAGCGUUAAUCGGAUUUACUGGGCGUAAAGCGUGCGUAGGUGGUCGCAUAAGUCGGAUGUGAAAGCCCGGGGCUUAACCUCGGAACUGCAUUCGAUACUGUGUGACUAGAGUUCGGUAGAGGGCGGUGGAAUUCCCGGUGUAGCGGUGAAAUGCGUAGAUAUCGGGAGGAACAUCAAUGGCGAAGGCAGCCGCCUGGGCCUGGACUGACACUGAGGCACGAAAGCGUGGGUAGCAAACAGGAUUAGAUACCCUGGUAGUCCACGCCGUAAACGAUGAGAACUUGACGUUGGGAUGUUUUACAUCUCGGUGUCGCAGCUAACGCGAUAAGUUCUCCGCCUGGGGAGUACGGCCGCAAGGUUGAAACUCAAAGGAAUUGACGGGGGCCCGCACAAGCGGUGGAGUAUGUGGUUUAAUUCGAUGCAACGCGAAGAACCUUACCUGGUCUUGACAUCCAGAGAAUCCUGCAGAGAUGCGGGAGUGCCUUCGGGAACUCUGAGACAGGUGCUGCAUGGCUGUCGUCAGCUCGUGUCGUGAAGAUGUUGGGUUAAGUCCCGCAACGAGCGCAACCCUUGCCCUUAGUGCCACCAUUUAGUGAGCACUCUAAGGGACCGCCGGUGACAAACCGGAGGAAGGUGUGU